Molecule: long non-coding RNA, 188 nt
Filed under: Coturnix japonica (Japanese quail)
Lineage: Eukaryota; Metazoa; Chordata; Aves; Galliformes; Phasianidae
Description: lncRNA (ENSCJPG00005016597.1)
Source: RNAcentral
AUUUUCUAGACAAACGUAGACUCUUCCAACCAACUUUUUUUCCAUACAGGCAUGUAAUGAGAAGUGAGAUUAUAAUCCUGACUGAGUGAAAGAAAAUAACUCACAGCGAAGGCAUUCGUGUGUGUUUUAUCGUAGAACAUCGUGCUGCCAUCUGGGAAGAGAAACACCAUGGUACAGGAGCAGCUGGU